GAAAAAAAAGUAUAAAGUCGAGUGUAUAUUGAGAUAUUUGUUUGAAAAUCGACUUUGUGUGUUGGAAAUAAAUGGAGAGCAUAAAAGAGUGUUUAGUUCUGUUUUGUGAUGAUUAAAUCCCUUGAGUUGUGUUGAUUAUGGUGAUAUAGUUGGGUGGAAGAUGGAAUUUAUUCCAUACUUGCUUUGUGAAGUUAUAAGGUUGGUGUUCUUAAUUUAUUUGAGUCACUUAGCCUAUAUUUCCCUACCUUAACCAAUGUCCCUACAUUAUAACCCAAAGAAAAAGACCUUUUUGAUCUUAGUCCUGGCACACUUUUAGCGAUGGAGAUUGUAGACGAUUGGCAAGC
This 344-nucleotide long non-coding RNA is filed under the name Salvia miltiorrhiza (redroot sage). Its description in RNAcentral is "long non-coding RNA (SMIL_LNC009865)". Lineage: Eukaryota; Viridiplantae; Streptophyta; Magnoliopsida; Lamiales; Lamiaceae. The record is from RNAcentral.